UAGGGUUCGUCACCCCACCGUGCGCCGCCGCCAUCGACCAAGACAGGUGGAGGUGAGCGGCGCAAUGGGGAUGCGCGCCUGGCGGCCGUGACCGGAGCCCCAGGAGCAGGCGAUGCGCGGCCUGUCCCAGAAGCUGCCCAAAACUACAUGGCGCUGAUUCCGCCUGCCUCCUCCGGCUGAGAAUCUCGGCGUGGUUUUCGCGUUCUGGUUCAAGGACAUGAGCCUAAUCGGUCAAAAGAACUGGUCGGGCGGUUUCACUCCCUAAUCCCCUUGGACCCCGUCCUCAACCUAUCUCCUCCCAUCUCGAUUCAACGCCUCCGUCGCCGUCGCCUUGGCUCGUGCCGCCGCCACCCGCAGCCUCUUGCGUCAUCCAGCACAGCUGCCACCGGCAACCGUCGCCCGCGGGGCACCCAACGCCGCCGCCACGCGCAGCCGACGCUGAUGCCAUUGGAGCCAGAUUCCCGUCCACCUCCUGCUCCUGCGCACCUAGCACAGAAAAUGGGGACUGCUCCGGCGAAUCCACCGGCGCGGUGAGGAGCUGGUAGAGAGGGAGAUGAGCGGGCGCAACGCCUCCCACUAUGCUGCUGAGCAUGGCCUCCACGGCUGCCGCCUUGCGCUCUGCCUGGCAGCCAAGCAGAGCCUCUCCUCCCCCUGGCCGCCUCCUCCCCAUAACCGUCCUCUACCCUCUUCUUCCUUCCUCUGGCCCUGUUAUUCCACUGAUUAAUUUUUUUUUCUCGAUCUUCUUUUGUUUACGUCAUUGGGGUUUGAUUGCUCCAGAUGGACCUGAUCGCUCCCCUGCGUGACAUGGGAUAGUGCACAAAGUAACGGAACUUCUUAUUUUCCACAUUACUAAAUUCGCUCUUUCCAUCUGGAAAGUUAGAGCAAAUUGAGCUAGAGUUAGCCAAACCCCCGACGGUGGUGGUGUUGAGGAGUGCUAUGUGCUGCAAGUGAAUCCGAUGGGAGUAAAGGGACAGGGAUAAUGCAGAGGAUAUGAGUAUGGUCGAGAGGUUUCUUGAAGAGGUGGGAUGGAAGAGGGACAGAAAGGGGGGAAAUAACAGGGAUUAUUAGAUGACGGGAUUCAAAAAUGAGGCUUCAAAGAAGCUUCAGGCUUAGCCCAUUCUUGAGGUUGCAAUUGUACAAGAGGCAGAUCGUCUGGAGUUUUUUUUAGGUGGAAGGCCUCACUGGGAUGAGAGCUGCUUGCGAAC
Lolium rigidum is the source of this 1205-nucleotide long non-coding RNA. RefSeq lists it as uncharacterized. The record is from RefSeq and is a predicted model, not a curated record. Lineage: Eukaryota; Viridiplantae; Streptophyta; Magnoliopsida; Poales; Poaceae. The transcript has 4 exons.